UACGUAGGGGGCGAGCGUUAUCCGGAUUUACUGGGUGUAAAGGGAGCGUAGACGGCAAUGCAAGUCUGGAGUGAAAGCCCGUGGCUCAACCGCGGAACGGCUUUGGAAACUGUAUGGCUAGAGUGCUGGAGAGGUAAGCGGAAUUCCUAGUGUAGCGGUGAAAUGCGUAGAUAUUAGGAGGAACACCAGUGGCGAAGGCGGCUUACUGGACAGUAACUGACGUUGAGGCUCGAAAGCGUGGGGAGCAA
RNAcentral lists this ribosomal RNA (248 nucleotides) under uncultured Lachnospiraceae bacterium. RNAcentral's name for it is "partial 16S ribosomal RNA". It matches the Rfam family "Bacterial small subunit ribosomal RNA", at positions 524 to 771 of the family's 1533-position model. The record is from RNAcentral. Lineage: Bacteria; Bacillati; Bacillota; Clostridia; Lachnospirales; Lachnospiraceae.